GCUCAGCUGCACGGGAAUCCGUGGAGGGUUUGGGAAAACCUGAAUUGCCAGGCCCUCCGCCAGGGAUCCCGAGGCUGUCAGUCUGGGAUGGGGCAGGAGAACUGCCUUUCCAAGAAAGUCCCAGGCAGGACAACAGGGGCUCCGACAGACUACCUCCAAGCCCGUCAGUCACAAUAUCCUGAAGGCAUCUGAGUGGAGAAGCCAGUGGCCAGCUGGCCCUGGAACUCUCCGGCACUAUGUAGCUCAGAAGACGCAAGAGUGGAAGUAUGGGAAGUAUGGGUAUGGGGUUGCUGAAUGUCAGUGGCACUUGAUCCAGGGAUGGUAUGAGCUUUGCCAGGGAGGAUGGGGCCAGUGAGAAGGGAAGAGGCCCAGGUUGGCCUUUCGGCCUUCUGAGGAGGCAGGGGAGAAGCCACGAGGAGAAGCCGGGAGGGGGGCAGACCGUCAGGGGUGAAGAGUGCAGUGCCGCGGGGCAGCUGCCAACCAGAGGCUGUGGUCUCAGGGGAAGACCUGUCGCUUGGUCCGCAGCCUUCCCAGCUGUAGCGCAAGCCCACCCACUUAGAAGAGGGGCCAGGGCCACAGCCUGAAGCUCCGUCCUCGGGGCGCAGUGGGGCUCAGCUACCUUUCCUGUCUCUCUGCUUAGAGGCCAAUUCACGAGUGUAUGAAUAUAAAAUAUGUAGUGGACUGAAUGUGGCCGUAAAAAGAUAUGUCCAGGUCCUAAUACCUGACUCUGUGCACGUGGCCUGGUUUGGAAAUAGGGUCUUUGUACAUGUGAUUAAGUUAAGGAUCUCAAGAUGACAUCACGGUAGGUCAUCUGGGCGGGCUCUAAAUCCAAGGACAUGGGUCCUGUAAGAGACAGAGGAGGAGGAGACGCACACGGAGGGAGAGGCCGUGCGAAGACAGAGGCAGAGGCGGAGGGAAGCAGCCGCAAGCCAAGGAAUGCAGGAGCCCUCUGGGGCCGGAAGAGGCAGGAAGGACCCUCCCCUAGAGCCCUUAGAGGCUUCUGGCCUCCGGACGCACCACCGUCAUCACUGCUGCUAUCCCUGCAGCUGGCCCUUGAACAGCAUAGGUCUGAACUAUGCAGGUCCACCUAAAUGCAGAUUUCCA
Non-coding RNA from Manis javanica (Malayan pangolin), 1104 nucleotides. The record is from RefSeq and is a predicted model, not a curated record. Lineage: Eukaryota; Metazoa; Chordata; Mammalia; Pholidota; Manidae.